GAGGAGCUGGAGUUGAAAGGAACUUUAGCAAGGCAUUGGAGUGGCUUACUCUUGCAUCCAGGCAGCAACUUUAUUCUGCUUACAAUGGUUUGGGCUAUCUCUAUGUCAAAGGAUAUGGAGUGGAAAAGAACUACACUAAGGCAAAAGAGUAUUUUGAGAAGGCUGCAGACAAUGGAGAGGCUGGUGGUUUCUACAACCUCGGAGUAAUGUAUCUUAAAGGAAUUGGGGUGAAGAGGGAUGUGAAAAUAGCGUCCAAAUACUUCAUUACAGCUUUUGAUGCUGGUCAACCAAAAGCAUUUUAUCAACUGGCAAAAAUGUUCCAUACUGGUGUAGGUCUUAAGAAGAAUGUUCCACUGGCAUCUUCCUUGUACAAACUAGUUGCAGAACGUGGACCAUGGAGUUCUUUGUCUAGAUGGGCACUAGAGUCUUAUUUGAGAGGAGAUGUGGGCAGGGCUUUCCUUCUAUAUUCAAGAAUGGCAGAGUUAGGAUAUGAGAUUGCGCAAAGUAAUGCUGCAUGGAUCCUUGACAAAUAUGGAGAAAGAAGCAUGUGUUUGGGAGAAUCUGGAAUUUGCAGUGAUGAAGAGAGGCAUCAACGCUCGCAUGCCUUGUGGUGGCAAGCUUCAGAGCAGGGUAAUGAACAUGCUGCAUUACUUAUUGGAGAUGCAUAUUACUAUGGUCGGGGUACUGAGCGGGACUAUGACCGUGCAGCUGAGGCAUAUAUGCAUGCAAAAUCACAAUCUAAUGCCCAAGCUAUGUUUAAUCUGGGUUACAUGCAUGAGCAUGGCCAAGGACUACCAUUUGAUCUUCAUCUUGCCAAGCGUUAUUACGAUCAAGCAUUGGAAGUUGAUCAUGCGGCAAAGUUGCCUGUAACAUUGGCCCUUGGAAGCUUGUGGAUAAGGAAAAACUACGCCAAUGGUAUCCUGGUUAACGUAAUUGAUUCCUUACCAGAAAUUUACCCCAAAGUGGAAGCAUGGGUGGAAGAUGUCCUAAUGGAAGAAGGAAAUGCAACGAUUCUCACCCUCUUUGUAUGCCUUCUAACGGUACUUUACCUACGCGAGCGGCAGCGUAGGCAUGUUGCUGCUGCUGCUGGAGAGGUCGCGUUCCCUCAUCAACUUGGGGAGCAAGGUGUGCCUGUAAUCCAUUAAUAUAUUCCCAGAUAGCGGAAGAGUAAGAUUCUUUUGCAGAAAAAAUAUGUAGAAAUUUUUUCUUGUUUUGGUCAUAGAGAGAUGCCCUUUUGUUUUGGGCAAUGUUAUAUAUUUGUCAUACACACUGACUAAAUAGAAUGGAGUGGUUUUUUGUCACUAACAUGAUUUCGC
RNAcentral lists this unclassified non-coding RNA (1316 nucleotides) under Hevea brasiliensis (rubber tree). Lineage: Eukaryota; Viridiplantae; Streptophyta; Magnoliopsida; Malpighiales; Euphorbiaceae. The record is from RNAcentral.